Molecule: long non-coding RNA, 1450 nt
Filed under: Equus caballus (horse)
Lineage: Eukaryota; Metazoa; Chordata; Mammalia; Perissodactyla; Equidae
Description: lncRNA (ENSECAG00000058549.1)
Source: RNAcentral
CUCCACCCCUCCCGGUGUUCUCGUAGCCCCCAGCCUUGCCAGCGACUGGCGGAGGAUACCGACGGCUGGCCGCGCCUCCAUCUCUCCAGGGUGAGCCAUGUGACACGGGGCAGGCUCUCAGCGCGCGGUUCACCGGAAGGUCCCGGCACAGCCCGGGCAUGUCAGCGGAGGAUCGGCAGGCAGUGCAGAGACUUGUCAUCGGCAGCCCAGGCGGAGGUCCGCUCUAAGAGGCUUUGUUUCCCUGCUCGCCCAGUGGGCAUCCUGCCUCACCAAGCGCCUACCCGAGGCCGGGCCGCGGGAGGCGCGGGGCACAGAGGCAUGUACAGGGAGGAAAACAGGUAAUAGUGGAAAAGAUGCCAUGUCUGAAAAUUUCCAUGAAGCUCCUUGAGACCGUGGGGCACUGAGAGGGAGCUCCAUGAGACAAGCAUUUGAGCUCCUCUCCAAACAGAAAACAACCCAGAAGUCCUUCAAUGGGUGAAUGAUUAAACAAACUAUGGUAUAUCUGUACCAUGGAAUACUACUCGACAAUAAAAGAGAAUGAACUUCUGAUACAUGAAACAACUUGGAUGAGUCUCCAGGGAAUUAUGUUUUGAGGAAACCAAGGCUCAGAGGUAAGUAACUGGCCUAAGGUACAUGGUGAGUAAACGACAAAGAUUUCUACCCAGCUCUGCCUCAAAAUUCUAGUUCUUAGCACUCUGCCCUACUGGCUCCAAUAAAGAAGACCAUGCGACGCAGAUGGCUUAGGGAACAGCCAGUGGAGGAGAUGAGCAAAACACAAAUAACCACUGUGCAGGCAUUCACCUUUGUUCUAAGGAGGCCAGCCUCUCAGCAGGGAAGACUAGUUCUUUAUCUUUUUAAUUUUAAUUUUAUUUUUAUUGAACCAAAACCAGAUGGCACAAAACUCGCAUUUGCAGCAUAGUGCCUGGAAGUCAGGCAAAUUCUUAUUCCCUAGGAUCUUACCCACAGGUGAAGACUACCUGGGAUGUCUUGUCUUUAAUUCAGUCCCUGGACACAUUCCCACCUGGCCUGAUCUCAUAUCCUUUAAAGUGCUGUGGAUGUGGAUAUGGCCUGGACUGCUCUUGCGGUUCUCACCAAAUUUGAUUUUCAUUAUGCUUAUUCUAUGCUUUUCUAACUCAAGACAUCGGUGUUAGAGUCCAAGAGAGCUAGGGUUGGAACUAAGUUCUGUCAUUUACUUGCUGUGUGACUUUGGGAAAUUUAGUUAAAUACUUAAAAUCUUGAUGUUCUCAUGUAAAAUGGGCAUAAUGGUAUUACCCACUUUCUUGGAUGUUGUAAGGAUUAAAUCUUGGACCGUUGUAAGUUUGAAAUCAAGUACUUAACACAGAACUGGUACAUAGUAAGCUCUCAACAACAGCUUUUUGUAAAUUUUAUUAAUGAUAAUAUAUGUUAAUAUUAGUGGUUUUAUUUCAUAGCCUGUUCUGUUCAAAGCCAG